UCACCCCACUGCACUCCAGCCUGGGCGACAGAGCAAGACUGACUCAAUUUAAAAAAAAAAAGAUAAAAAUGGUGCAUCUCUAUAGGGCGUUUACCAUGCCUGGAGCUUGUGGGACUGGAAGUUGCUCUGAUACGCAGCCUGGUCUACAGGAAGAAUUCUAUGUAUAUUUGCUGAAGAGACAAAGAAGGAUGUGGAUGAAUUGGAUGUGGAGAAUGAGAGGAAAGAAAAUGUCAAGGAUGGCUCUAAUUUCUGGCUUAUGCAACUGAGUGGUGCCAUUGAGAGAGACUCUCUCUCUUGCCUUCUUGGUUGGCACACUGGGGAGAAGCGAGCUGCAGCGUUGGAGAGGCCCAUGUGGCAAGGGACUGAGAGCAGCCUCUGGCCAACAGCCGGUAAGCAACCAGUGAGCAACCGAGGCCCUCAGUCCCACAGCAUGUGAGGAACUGAGUCCUGCCAAUGAUCAUGUGAUACUGAAGGAGGGUCUUUCUUUAGCUGAUCCUACAGAUGAGAAUCUAGCCCUUGUGCUGCCUCAUGAGAGACCCUGGAGCAGAGGCCCCAGCUGAGCUAUGCCUGGAUUCCUACCCACAGAAACUGGAAGACAAUAAAAGUGUCGUUUAUGUUUUUUUAUUCUGGUAAAAAUCAUAUAACAUGAAAUUUUUCCAUUCUAACCAUUAAAAACAUGUCUUUUUGUGUGUGUGAGACAGGGUUUCGUUCUGU
This 714-nucleotide long non-coding RNA is filed under the name Homo sapiens (human). RNAcentral's name for it is "HSALNT0314576". Lineage: Eukaryota; Metazoa; Chordata; Mammalia; Primates; Hominidae. The record is from RNAcentral.